AUGGUGUUUAUACUGAAAUCUUUCAGGAAAGCAAACCCAGCAAUGGGUGAUGCAACAACCAAGUGUUCUGCUGGAGAAGAGAAUGACAGAAUCAAGUAUGCUAUGUCAUCUAUGAAAGGAUUUCGUGAUGAAAUGGAAGAUGCUCUCACAGCUGUCCUAGAUCUAGAUGGUUACAGUUCCACAUCAUUCUUUGGUGUUUAUGAUGGCCAUGGAGGAGCUGAUGUAGCAUUGUAUUGUUCAAGGCAAUUUCAUAUUGAGCUCACCAAGGAACCAGACUAUGGCAACAAUCUGCGUACCGCACUGGAGCAUGUGUAUUUCAGAAUUGAUAAGAAGUUGAAACGAUCGGAUGAAUGGAAAAGGGAGCCAGCUCAUCCUCCUGUUAAUAGAACUUGGAAAAACUUGCUCAGGGCUGCUCUUUGUGAUCCUAAGGAACGUUAUGUUCCCCCCCUACAGGAAGGAACCACAGCAUGUGUGGCUCUCAUUAGAGGUAACCAGAUUAUUGUUGGAAAUAUUGGUGAUUCCCGUUGUGUACUCUCAAGGAAUGGUCAGGCAAAUGAUCUAUCCACCGAUCACAAGCCAGACCACCAACAGGAAAGGGCGAGAAUUGAAAGGGCAGGAGGUCAAGUAACCAGGGAUGAGAACCCUCAGAGAGAUAUCACAGGACGACUAGUUAGUAUGGACUUGGGCAUCCAUCGCAUCGGGGGGAAAUUAGCCAUAUCCAGAGCGAUUGGUGAUUUUCAAUACAAGCAGAACAAAACUUUGUCUCCUGCAGAACAAAUUGUGACAUGUAGUCCGGACAUUCGCACUGUGGACAUAACUGAUGACACUGAAUUUCUUAUUAUAGCAAGUGACGGUAUCUGGGACGUCAAGUCAAGUCAAGAGGCGGUCGAUUUUGUAAGGCAGCGUUUGCAAUCCGGGGAGACAAAUCUGCGUGCCAUUUGUGAGAGACUUCUUGAUUCAUGCCUGGGCCGGAGAAUGAGUGACAAUAUGAGCGUGAUAGUGGUUGAGUUCAAGGCGGGCGCCCGCGCCAACCCCACUGCCACUGCUGAAGCCAGGGCUGACGAAAUCGAGGUCAACAUCGAAGUGGGGCAGUCCAGCAGCGCAAAUGUGGAAGGGGGGCAGCCCAGCAACGGAAAUGAUGACGACGACGGCUCUGUCAACGGCUGCAUAGGAUGCUUCGGCCGCUUGGAUAUGUUUGAGGCCGGCGAGGACUGA
Molecule: ribosomal RNA, 1215 nt
Filed under: Triticum aestivum (bread wheat)
Lineage: Eukaryota; Viridiplantae; Streptophyta; Magnoliopsida; Poales; Poaceae
Description: partial small subunit ribosomal RNA
Source: RNAcentral